RNAcentral lists this ribosomal RNA (746 nucleotides) under uncultured cyanobacterium. RNAcentral describes it as "bacterial SSU rRNA". It matches the Rfam family "Bacterial small subunit ribosomal RNA", at positions 8 to 796 of the family's 1533-position model. The record is from RNAcentral. Lineage: Bacteria; Bacillati; Cyanobacteriota.
AGAGUUUGAUCAUGGCUCAGGAUGAACGCUGGCGGUAUGCUUAACACAUGCAAGUCGAACGGAGUACUUCGGUACUUAGUGGCGGACGGGUGAGUAACGCGUGAGAAUCUGCCUUCAGGUUCGGGACAACCACUGGAAACGGUGGCUAAUACCGAAUGUGCAGCAAUGUGAAAAAUUUAUUGCCUGAAGAUGAGCUCGCGUCUGAUUAGCUAGUAGGUGUGGUAAGAGCGCACCUAGGCGACGAUCAGUAGCUGGUCUGAGAGGAUGAUCAGCCACACUGGGACUGAGACACGGCCCAGACUCCUACGGGAGGCAGCAGUGGGGAAUUUUCCGCAAUGGGCGAAAGCCUGACGGAGCAAGACCGCGUGAGGGAGGAAGGCUCUUGGGUUGUAAACCUCUUUUGUCAGGGAAGAACACAAUGACGGUACCUGAAGAAUCAGCAUCGGCUAACUCCAUGCCAGCAGCCGCGGUAAUACGGGGGAUGCAAGCGUUAUCCGGAAUUAUUGGGCGUAAAGCGUCCGCAGGUGGCUAAUCAAGUCUGCUGUCAAAGGUUGGGGCUUAACCCCAAAAAGGCAGUGGAAACUGAGAAGCUAGAGUGCAGUAGGGGUAGAGGGAAUUCCCGGUGUAGCGGUGAAAUGCGUAGAGAUCGGGAAGAACAUCGGUGGCGAAAGCGCUCUACUGGACUGCAACUGACACUCAGGGACGAAAGCUAGGGGAGCGAAUGGGAUUAGAUACCCCCGUAGUCC